Molecule: non-coding RNA, 66 nt
Organism: Podarcis lilfordi (Lilford's wall lizard)
Lineage: Eukaryota; Metazoa; Chordata; Lepidosauria; Squamata; Lacertidae
Source: the annotation of a GenBank genome assembly
GCAGCUCAGAGAUAGAGCAUCUGCUUUCCAAGCAGAAAGUCUUGGGUUCAAUCCCCGCCAUCUCCA